Pangasianodon hypophthalmus (striped catfish) is the source of this 825-nucleotide long non-coding RNA. RefSeq lists it as uncharacterized. Lineage: Eukaryota; Metazoa; Chordata; Actinopteri; Siluriformes; Pangasiidae. The record is from RefSeq and is a predicted model, not a curated record. The transcript has 5 exons.
AAUUCAGCAUUCAAAUAAUUAACUAAAUAAUAAUAAAAACAUUAAUCCAUUCAUGAAUCUAAAUCUGUUAGUUUUGACUGGCAAUGUUACGGUUCGAUUUCCGUCCUCUCCUCCAGAGCGGUUAAAGAGACAUGCGAGGAUGGAGAGAAAGCGGCCAGGUGGAGCAGAAAGGGAAGGGACACGGAAAAAGAAAGCGCUUCAAGAAGAAGCAGCGAAAUGUUGCAAAAUUUCUGAUCUGUUCAGGGCUUCAAGUGCAGGUGGAGACAGUCAACCUAGCACUGGUGCAGUGGUCACACAUCAGAUUCAGCCAGGGAGUGAGACAGCUCUGCUGCAGAUCGUAUAGCUCAGUGAGCAACAGCGGCGCAGGUGAAAAAAGCAUCCCUGCCGCGGGGACGCGCAUGUGGAGAUAGACGCCUCACAACGGAAAGAAAAGGAAUAACAGGCGCCAUUAUCACUAGCGUUCGCAUUCUACGUCGCAUUUGUUCUCAUUGAAGUCCAGAUAUAAUAAAUGGAGCACUGUACUACUUGAAAGGUCACGGAAAGGUCAUAAACACAAAAGUGGUCAGAGGCACAGAGGAGGCUGACGCCAUUUCUAGUGAUUUUCAUGACAGCUCCACAGGUGCUCACACUGGACAAAAAAAGACCAGAGAUGCGAUUUCUAAAAGGUUUUUCAGGCCUGGGAUGUCUGCUGACAUAGAUAAAUGGGGCCCACAAGAAAACACGCUCAGUAGUUGAGCGGGGUAUUGGCCAGCUGAAGAGGAGGUUUCAUGUGUUGCAUGGAGAAGUGCGCCUGUCAUCAGCUAAGGUCUGCAAAGUCAUUACGGC